CCUUCUGUACCCCCCAUUGUAACACGUGUGUAGCCCCGGACGUAAGGGCCGUGCUGAUUUGACGUCAUCCCCACCUUCCUCACAUCUUACGACGGCAGUCUCUCUAGAGUCCUCAGCAUGACCUGUUAGUAACUAAAGAUAAGGGUUGCGCUCGUUAUGGCACUUAAGCCGACACCUCACGGCACGAGCUGACGACAACCAUGCAGCACCUUCACAAAUGCCUUACGGCUAACCAAUUUCUUGAUUAUUCAUUUGCAAUUUAAGCCCGGGUAAGGUUCCUCGCGUAUCAUCGAAUUAAACCACAUGUUCCUCCGCUUGUGCGGGCCCCCGUCAAUUCCUUUGAGUUUCACCGUUGCCGGCGUACUCCCCAGGUGGAAUACUUAAUGCUUUCGCUUGGCCGCUUACUGUAUAUCGCAAACAGCGAGUAUUCAUCGUUUACUGUGUGGACUACCAGGGUAUCUAAUCCUGUUUGAUACCCACACUUUCGAGCAUCAGUGUCAGUUACAGUCUAGUGAGCUGCCUUCGCAAUCGGAGUUCUUCGUGAUAUCUAAGCAUUUCACCGCUACACCACGAAUUCCGCCCACCUCUACUGUACUCAAGACUGCCAGUUUCAACUGCNAAUUUUACGGUUGAGCCGCAAACUUUCACNAACUGACUUAACAAUCCACCUACGCUCCCUUUAAACCCAAUAAAUCCGGAUAACGCUCGGAUCCUCCGUAUUACCGCGGCUGCUGGCACGGAGUUAGCCGAUCCUUAUUCAUAUGGUACAUACAAAAUUCCACACGUGGAAAACUUUAUUCCCAUAUAAAAGAAGUUUACGACCCAUAGAGCCUUCAUCCUUCACGCUACUUGGCUGGUUCAGGCCUGCGCCCAUUGACCAAUAUUCCUCACUGCUGCCUCCCGUAGGAGUUUGGACCGUGUCUCAGUUCCAAUGUGGGGGACCUUCCUCUCAGAACCCCUAUCCAUCGUAGUCUUGGUGGGCCGUUACCCCGCCAACAAACUAAUGGAACGCAUCCCCAUCGAUAACCGAAA
Molecule: ribosomal RNA, 1032 nt
Filed under: Bacteroides ovatus
Lineage: Bacteria; Pseudomonadati; Bacteroidota; Bacteroidia; Bacteroidales; Bacteroidaceae
Description: partial 16S ribosomal RNA
Source: RNAcentral